CUGGGAGUGCAGUCUGCGCCCGCCGAGCCCUCAGUGUCCAUUUUACAACAGCGCUUUGCACGUUACGCUGAACGGCUCGGGUCUGGGCGCGGCCGAGACACCAGACUGCGGCAGGGGCUGGGCAGGGGGGCUGUGAGGGGGUGUGGAGGGAAGUAGGGCAGCGGAGGAGGGGCGGCGGCGGCAGCUGGGGCUGGUGCCGGGGGCGAUCCGCAGCCCCGGAGGCGCAGACCGCGGGGGAGGGGCAGGGGCUCCGUCCCAGGCUGUUGUGGGACCGAACGCGGGCGGGAGGAUGUCUGACUCAGAACUGCAUCCUCUGAGGCAGAAACGCCAAAACUCCCUCCUCAGCUGCUCUCCCCCCCGCCUCCGGCUUCCUCCUCACGAACGUCGUUACUCUCAGCAUACCUAUUCUUUAUGAAUCUCAACCUGAGGAGUAAAUUUUCGCCACAAAGUACGCGAAAAGCCGGGCAGACCCGCCGGAUCUCACACACGCAGAGGAACUUACUUGAGGGGCGGGGAAGAGGGGGGCGAGAAAGGGGAAGGAGCGGGAGCUUUGACCGAGACCCGUUCAGGGCGAUGUGGAGGUUUUGACUGAAUCUCCCCUGUCAAGAAGACAGUUGAGGCUGAGAGUCUUCCCCGAAGCGUUUUAAGGCUCAUAUAUAAGGCAAGUGGGAGAGAGCUUCGGUUCUUAAAGCGAGUGGGACAGCACUAGCUGAAGGCGUUUCUUUUCUGCAGGGAACGAGACGAGCAGUGAACGAGCCUCGUUUCCCCUUUAGGGAACGGCACUCGGGGAGCAGGUAUGGUCUGCUUUUAUCCGGACCACCGGGAGCUGGCAAAGCGAGAGGGUCGCCAGCCUCUCAGGGAGGACGCAGCUUCUGCCGUUUGCACGGAACUCCUCUCCCUUCCACCAUAUCCCCUCCCAGCUCCUGUUCUGCCCGCACACCGCCCUACCUCCCCUGCCCGGCUUCAGCCCCUCCAGCGAUACGGCUGAUUGAGGGAGGGGAGGCGGUGGCUGGGGUUUCAUUCGACGCCCACCAGGGGCUGAGCGAGCCUCCUUCAGUGCGCAAACUCGGGGCACCAGAUAAAAGCUGGGCUGGCAGCUCUUACCCUGCCUCGAUGGAGCCGCCACAAUCGGGUGACUGGAGAAGCAGUUAGCAGCAGCGCCAUAGACUAGCGUCCCCCCACACCUUGGGCAGAGAGAGUUUGGGGCUCUAAACAGCUGCUGCUGCGGCAGGAGGGAGCCGAGGUGAAGGGAUCUGCUAGCUGGUUGGACGCAGAGGAGGCGGCUGUAAUGGGGCACUGAGCCUGAGGGAGGAGGGGGGCGAUUAAACGUCUUGUGAUCACGGCGGAGUCUAUGGGUAUGCUGAACCAGACAGCACCAUCACAGAUCUCUGGGGAACUGCACUGAUGAACUUUGUCCACUGUGAGCACUGACCAUCUUGUCUUCUGUUUCCCAUCUUUUAACCAUCAUUUACCCCUGGAAGGAUCUUCCCUCUUAAGCCAUGGCUGCUUGGUUUCCUUAAAAGCCUUUUUGAGGAACAUGGUUGAAAGCUGUCUUGAAACUCAAAUGCACUUAUACCAACCAAACCAUCCUCAUCCUUAUGGCUGCUGAGCCCUUCCAAGAAGUCUGAUAGUGCUUGAUGCAGAUUUCCAUU
Molecule: long non-coding RNA, 1652 nt
Organism: Haliaeetus leucocephalus (bald eagle)
Lineage: Eukaryota; Metazoa; Chordata; Aves; Accipitriformes; Accipitridae
Exons: 2
Source: RefSeq, a predicted model, not a curated record